GACGAACGCUGGCGGCGUGCUUAACACAUGCAAGUCGAACGGUAAGGCCCUUCGGGGUACGCGAGUGGCGAACGGGUGAGUAACGCGUGGGUGAUCUGCCCUGCACUUCGGGAUAAGCCUGGGAAACUGGGUCUAAUACCGGAUAGGACUCCUGGCUUCAUGGUUGGGGGUGGAAAGCUUUUGCGGUGUGGGGUGGGCCCGCGGCCUAUCAGCUUGUUGGUGGGGUAAUGGCCUACCAAGGCGACGACGGGUAGCCGGCCUGAGAGGGUGACCGGUCACACUGGGACUGAGAUACGGGCCAGACUCCUACGGGAGGCAGCAGUGGGGAAUAUUGCACGAUGGGCGCAAGCAUGAUGCAGCGACGCCGCGUGAGGGAUGACGGCCUUCGGGUUGUAAACCUCUUUCAGCUAUGACGAAGCGCAAGUGACGGUAGUAGCAGAAGAAGGACCGGCCAACUACGUGCCAGCCGCCGCUGUAA
This 478-nucleotide ribosomal RNA is filed under the name uncultured bacterium. RNAcentral's name for it is "partial 16S ribosomal RNA". It matches the Rfam family "Bacterial small subunit ribosomal RNA", at positions 28 to 523 of the family's 1533-position model. The record is from RNAcentral.